AAUAUUGCGCAAUGGAGGAAACUCUGACGCAGCGACGCCGCGUGAGCGAUGAAGGUCNNNGGAUCNUCAAGUUCUGUCCUCAGNGAANAAGAAACGGACGGUACCUUAGGAGGAAGCCCCGGCUAACUACGUGCCAGCAGCCGCGGUAAUACGUAGGGGGCGAGCGUUAUCCGGAAUUAUUGGGCGUAAAGGGUGCGUAGGCGGCCUUUUAAGUCAGAUGUGAAAGGCUACGGCUUAACCGUAGUUAGCAUUUGAAACUAAAAGGCUUGAGUGCAGGAGAGGAGAGUGGAAUUCCUAGUGUAGCGGUGAAAUGCGUAGAUAUUAGGAGGAACACCAGUGGCGAAGGCGACUCUCUGGACUGCAACUGACGCUGAGGCACGAAAGCGUGGGGAGCGAAC
This 398-nucleotide ribosomal RNA is filed under the name uncultured bacterium. RNAcentral's name for it is "partial 16S ribosomal RNA". It matches the Rfam family "Bacterial small subunit ribosomal RNA", at positions 360 to 773 of the family's 1533-position model. The record is from RNAcentral.